Molecule: ribosomal RNA, 433 nt
Filed under: uncultured bacterium
Lineage: Bacteria
Description: partial 16S ribosomal RNA
Rfam family: Bacterial small subunit ribosomal RNA
Source: RNAcentral
AACGAACGCUGGCGGCAGGCCUAACACAUGCAAGUCGAGCGCGCCCUUCGGGGUGAGCGGCGGACGGGUGAGUAACGCGUGGGAACGUGCCCUUUUCUACGGAAUAGCCUCGGGAAACUGAGAGUAAUACCGUAUACGCCCUUUGGGGGAAUGAUUUAUCGGAAAAGGAUCGGCCCGCGUUGGAUUAGGUAGUUGGUGGGGUAAUGGCCUACCAAGCCGACGAUCCAUAGCUGGUUUGAGAGGAUGAUCAGCCACACUGGGACUGAGACACGGCCCAGACUCCUACGGGAAGCAGCAGUGGGGAAUCUUAGACAAUGGGGGCAACCCUGAUCUAGCCAUGCCGCGUGAGUGAUGAAGGCCUUAGGGUUGUAAAGCUCUUUCAGCUGGGAAGAUAAUGACGGUACCAGCAGAAGAAGCCCCGGCUAACUCCGUG